Molecule: small nucleolar RNA, 106 nt
Organism: Cynocephalus volans (Philippine flying lemur)
Lineage: Eukaryota; Metazoa; Chordata; Mammalia; Dermoptera; Cynocephalidae
Product: small nucleolar RNA U13
Exons: 1
Source: RefSeq, a predicted model, not a curated record
AUCCUUUGUUGGUUCAUAAGCACGAUGAUUAGAUAUUCACGCUAUUGUGUGAGGAUGUGCCUCCCUCUAAACCUCGUUAAGACGUGGGCACAUUAUGCAUCUUACA